AAAUGCGAUAAGUAAUGUGAAUUGCAGAAUUCAGUGAAUCAUCGAAUCUUUGAACGCACCUUGCGCUCCUUGGUAUUCCGAGGAGUAUGCCUGUUUGAGUGUCAUGGAAUUCUCAACUCUAUUUGCUUUUGUGAAUAGAGCUUGGAUUUGGAGGUUUAUUGCUGGUACUUGUGAUCGGCUCCUCUUGAAUGCAUUAGCUCGAACCUUUGCGGAUCAGCUAUCGGUGUGAUAAUUGUCUACGCCGUUGCAGUGAAGCAUAUCAAUGGGCUCGGCUUCCAAUCGUCCUUUACUGGACAAUGACUUUGACCUUUGACCUCAAAUCAGGUAGGAUUACCCGCUGAACUUAAGC
This 349-nucleotide unclassified non-coding RNA is filed under the name plant metagenome. RNAcentral describes it as "partial contains 5.8S ribosomal RNA, internal transcribed spacer 2, and large subunit ribosomal RNA". The stretch from base 1 to 104 matches the Rfam family "5.8S ribosomal RNA", at positions 51 to 154 of the family's 154-position model. The record is from RNAcentral.